ACUUUUCCUCUGGACGGGUUUUGAUAAAUCUCCCCCAUAGUACCUAUAAAUGGACAGCUGUAAUGGUCACUACACAAUGCAUGGUAUAUGAUGACGAUUACUUACUGUCCGCCCUCUCCCUCCAGGAGCUGAUGGUAAAUCAGUUCCUCCUUAAGGCCUUCAAUCUGGAGCUCCAGGUCUGAUCUUGUCAUUGUAAGCUCAUCCAAGACGCGCUUAAGUCCAUUGAUAUCAUUCUCCACGCUCUGGCGCAGGGAAAGUUCGUUCUCAAACCUAAAUGUAGAAGCCAGCAAAGCUCUGCUCACGAACUGUCACAGACCCCUGCUUUGAAUACCAGUCUCGGAUCUUGGCCUCCAAAUCAUUAUUUGCCGCUUCCAAGGAUCGUACUUUAUC
Hyla sarda is the source of this 390-nucleotide long non-coding RNA. RefSeq lists it as uncharacterized. The transcript has 3 exons. Lineage: Eukaryota; Metazoa; Chordata; Amphibia; Anura; Hylidae. The record is from RefSeq and is a predicted model, not a curated record.